CCUACGGGAGGCAGCAGUGGGGAAUAUUGCACAAUGGGGGAAACCCUGAUGCAGCAACGCCGCGUGAAGGAAGACGGUUUUCGGCUCGUAAACUUCUGUUCUCAGUGAAGAAUAAUGACGGUAGCUAAGGAGCAAGCCACGGCUAACUACGUGCCAGCACCCGCGGAAAUACGUAGGUGGCAAGCGUUGUCCGGAAUUAUUGGUGGUAAAGGGAGCGCAGGAGGGAAGCCAAGUCAGUUGUGAAAACUACGGCCUUAACUUGUAGACUGCAGUUGAAACUGGUUGUCUUGAGUGAAGUAGGGGUUGGCGGAAUUCCGGGUGUAGCGGUGAAAUGCGUAGAUAUUAGGAGGAACACCGGUGGCGAAGGCGGCCAACUGGGCUUUAACUGACGCUGAGGCUCGAAAGUGUGGGGAGCAAACAGGAUUAGAUACCCUUGUAGUC
RNAcentral lists this ribosomal RNA (441 nucleotides) under uncultured bacterium. Its description in RNAcentral is "partial 16S ribosomal RNA". It matches the Rfam family "Bacterial small subunit ribosomal RNA", at positions 338 to 795 of the family's 1533-position model. The record is from RNAcentral.